UCCAGACUCCUACGGGAGGCAGCAGUGGGGGAUAUUGCACAAUGGGGGGAACCCUGAUGCAGCGACGCCGCGUGGGUGAAGGAGCGUUUCGGCGCGUAAAGCCCUCUCGGCAGGGAAGAAGGAGGACGGUACCUGACUAAGAAGCCCCGGCUAACUACGUGCCAGCAGCCGCGGUAAUACGUAGGGGGCAAGCGUUAUCCGGAUUUACUGGGUGUAAAGGGGGCGCAGACGGCAGCGCAAGCCAGGAGUGAAAGCCCGGGGCCCAACCCCGGGACUGCUCUUGGAACUGCGCGGCUGGAGUGCAGGAGGGGCAGGCGGAAUUCCUGGUGUAGCGGUGAAAUGCGUAGAUAUCAGGAGGAACACCAGUGGCGAAGGCGGCCUGCUGGACGACAACUGACGGUGAGGCGCGAAAGCGUGGGGAGCAAACAGGAUUAGAUACCCCAGUA
RNAcentral lists this ribosomal RNA (446 nucleotides) under uncultured bacterium. RNAcentral's name for it is "partial 16S ribosomal RNA". It matches the Rfam family "Bacterial small subunit ribosomal RNA", at positions 330 to 792 of the family's 1533-position model. The record is from RNAcentral.